Molecule: transfer RNA, 77 nt
Filed under: Dyadobacter sp. CY356
Lineage: Bacteria; Pseudomonadati; Bacteroidota; Cytophagia; Cytophagales; Spirosomataceae
Also listed under: 2 other names
Description: tRNA-Arg
Rfam family: tRNA
About the family: Transfer RNA (tRNA) molecules are approximately 80 nucleotides in length. Their secondary structure includes four short double-helical elements and three loops (D, anti-codon, and T loops).
Source: RNAcentral
GGUCCCGUAGCUCAGCUGGAUAGAGCAACUGCCUUCUAAGUAGUAGGUCUUGUGUUCGAAUCACAACGGGAUCACCA